AACGAACGCUGGCGGCAGGCCUCAAACAUGCAAGUCUAGGGGGUGUAGCAAUACAUCACCGGCGGACGGGUGCGUAACGCGUGGGAAUAUACCUAUCGAUUCGGAACAACUGAGGGAAACUUCAGCUAAUACCGAAUACGUCCUAACGGAGAAAGAUUUAUCGUCGAUAGAUUAGCCCGCGUUCGAUUAGCUAGUUGGUGGGGUAACGGCCCACCAAGGCGACGAUCGAUAGCUGUUCUGAGAGGAAGAUCAGCCACACUGGGACUGAGACACGGCCCAGACUCCUACGGGAGGCAGCAGUUGGGAAUCUUGGACAAUGGGGGAAACCCUGAUCCAGCCAUGCCGCGUGAGUGAUGAAGGCCUUCGGGUUGUAAAACUCUUUCGCGCACGACGAUAAUGACGGUAGUGCGAGAAGAAGCUCCGGCUAACUUCGUGCCAGCAGCC
Molecule: ribosomal RNA, 444 nt
Filed under: uncultured bacterium
Lineage: Bacteria
Description: bacterial SSU rRNA
Rfam family: Bacterial small subunit ribosomal RNA
Source: RNAcentral